This 253-nucleotide ribosomal RNA is filed under the name uncultured bacterium. Its description in RNAcentral is "partial 16S ribosomal RNA". It matches the Rfam family "Bacterial small subunit ribosomal RNA", at positions 524 to 776 of the family's 1533-position model. The record is from RNAcentral.
GACGAACCGUACGAACGUUAUUCGGAAUCACUGGGCUUAAAGAGUUCGUAGGCGGCCUGUCAAGUUGGGUGUGAAAUCCCUCGGCUCAACCGAGGAACUGCGCUCAAAACUAGCAGGCUAGAGGGAGAUAGGGGUAAGCGGAACUGAUGGUGGAGCGGUGAAAUGCGUUGAUAUCAUCAGGAACACCGGUGGCGAAGGCGGCUUACUGGAUCUCUUCUGACGCUGAGGAACGAAAGCUAGGGUAGCAAACGGG